RNAcentral lists this unclassified non-coding RNA (221 nucleotides) under uncultured Umbelopsis. Its description in RNAcentral is "sequence contains ITS2". Lineage: Eukaryota; Fungi; Mucoromycota; Umbelopsidomycetes; Umbelopsidales; Umbelopsidaceae. The record is from RNAcentral.
ACACCUCACUACUAUAACUUUUUUGUUAUAAUAGUGGACUUGGAAUGCGCUGGUGUCAAUCAGCCCUUCUAAAAUGGAGUUCUUGCACUGUUGAUUUGUUUUAACAGCAUGUUGGCCUAAUAAGUUUCGGCAGUAAUGUUGAAAUCACUGGCUUUUUUUGCUUAGAAUCUGACAGUCUUGAUAUACAGAAUUUUUGAGGUGACUUGUCUCCUCUUCAAAUU